UACGUAGGGGGCGAGCGUUGUCCGGAGUUACUGGGCGUAAAGCGCACGUAGGCGGUCUUUUAAGUCGGUGGUGAAAUCCUGGAGCUCAACUCCAGAACUGCCUUCGAUACUGGAAGACUUGAGUCCGGGAGAGGUGAGUGGAACUGCGAGUGUAGAGGUGAAAUUCGUAGAUAUUCGCAAGAACACCAGUGGCGAAGGCGGCUCACUGGCCCGGUACUGACGCUGAGGUGCGAAAGCGUGGGGAGCAAACAGG
RNAcentral lists this ribosomal RNA (253 nucleotides) under uncultured bacterium. RNAcentral describes it as "partial 16S ribosomal RNA". It matches the Rfam family "Bacterial small subunit ribosomal RNA", at positions 524 to 776 of the family's 1533-position model. The record is from RNAcentral.